GAAGGGGAUGCUCGCGAUUUGUCCGGCCAGCUUGCGGCGAGCUAAAAGAACCGCGCUAAACGGCCGAGGCGGUAUGCGU
RNAcentral lists this non-coding RNA (79 nucleotides) under Acetobacteraceae bacterium AT-5844. Its description in RNAcentral is "Alpha-proteobacteria SAM riboswitch aptamer". It matches the Rfam family "Alpha-proteobacteria SAM riboswitch aptamer". Rfam says of the family: This family is a riboswitch found predominantly in alpha-proteobacteria that binds S-adenosyl methionine (SAM). The record is from Rfam by way of RNAcentral. RNAcentral also lists the same sequence under 1 other name. Lineage: Bacteria; Pseudomonadati; Pseudomonadota; Alphaproteobacteria; Acetobacterales; Acetobacteraceae.